Molecule: transfer RNA, 72 nt
Filed under: Camelus dromedarius (Arabian camel)
Lineage: Eukaryota; Metazoa; Chordata; Mammalia; Artiodactyla; Camelidae
Also listed under: 1 other name
Rfam family: tRNA
About the family: Transfer RNA (tRNA) molecules are approximately 80 nucleotides in length. Their secondary structure includes four short double-helical elements and three loops (D, anti-codon, and T loops). Further hydrogen bonds mediate the characteristic L-shaped molecular structure. tRNAs have two regions of fundamental functional importance: the anti-codon, which is responsible for specific mRNA codon recognition, and the 3' end, to which the tRNAs corresponding amino acid is attached (by aminoacyl-tRNA synthetases). tRNAs cope with the degeneracy of the genetic code in two manners: having more than one tRNA (with a specific anti-codon) for a particular amino acid; and 'wobble' base-pairing, i.e. permitting non-standard base-pairing at the 3rd anti-codon position.
Source: Rfam by way of RNAcentral
GAAGGUAUCGCUCAGCGGUGGAGUGCAUGCUUAGCAUGCAUAAGGUCCUUGGUUCAAUCCCCAGUACUUCCA